CUACGGGAGGCAGCAGUGGGGAAUAUUGCACAAUGGGCGCAAGCCUGACGCAGCCAUGCCGCGUGUAUGAAGAAGGCCUUCGGGUUGUAAAGUACUUUCAGCGGGGAGGAAGGGAGUAAAGUUAAUACCUUUGCUCAUUGACGUUACCCGCAGAAGAAGCACCGGCUAACUCCGUGCCAGCAGCCGCGGUAAUACGGAGGGUGCAAGCGUUAAUCGGAAUUACUGGGCGUAAAGCGCACGCAGGCGGUUUGUUAAGUCAGAUGUGAAAUCCCCGGGCUCAACCUGGGAACUGCAUCUGAUACUGGCAAGCUUGAGUCUCGUAGAGGGGGGUAGAAUUCCAGGUGUAGCGGUGAAAUGCGUAGGGAUCUGGAGGAAUACCGGUGGCGAAGGCGGCCCCCUGGACGAAGACUGACGCUCAGGUGCGAAAGCGUGGGGAGCAAACAGGAUUAGAUACCCCAGUAGUC
RNAcentral lists this ribosomal RNA (464 nucleotides) under uncultured bacterium. Its description in RNAcentral is "partial 16S ribosomal RNA". It matches the Rfam family "Bacterial small subunit ribosomal RNA", at positions 339 to 795 of the family's 1533-position model. The record is from RNAcentral.